RNAcentral lists this ribosomal RNA (253 nucleotides) under uncultured bacterium. RNAcentral describes it as "partial 16S ribosomal RNA". It matches the Rfam family "Bacterial small subunit ribosomal RNA", at positions 524 to 776 of the family's 1533-position model. The record is from RNAcentral.
UACGAAGGGGGCUAGCGUUAUUCGGAAUCACUGGGCGUAAAGCGCGUGUAGGCGGUCUGAAAAGUCAGAGGUGAAAGCCCGGAGCUUAACUCCGGAAUUGCCUUUGAAACUGCCAGACUAGAAUUUGGUAGAGGAUAGUGGAAUUCCUAGUGUAGAGGUGAAAUUCGUAGAUAUUAGGAGGAACACCAGUGGCGAAGGCGACUAUCUGGGCCAAUAUUGACGCUAAGACGCGAAAGCGUGGGGAGCAAACAGG